CCUCCCUGGCCCUGGAGGCUUGUCUAGAUUGCGCCGCAUUCCCGCUCAUCGCACACUGCCGUUUCUAACAUUUUCCGUGGCUUUCUAGAUGACCUAUUGUUCAUGCACUUCACUUAGUGCUGUCUUGGACUUUUGGGCCGAGGUUUGCUGGUUGGCUCCCGAGCAGACAGCAGGAAAGAAGAAGCCCUUUGUGUACACCCAGGGCCAGGCUGUCCUAAACCGGGCCUUCUUCCCUUGCUUCGACACGCCUGCUGUUAAAUACAAGUAUUCAGCUCUUAUUGAGGUCCCAGAUGGCUUCACAGCUGUGAUGAGUGCUAGCACCUGGGAGAAGAGAGGUCCAAAUAAGUUCUUCUUCCAGAUGUGUCAGCCCAUCCCCUCCUAUCUGAUAGCUUUGGCCAUCGGAGAUCUGGUUUCGGCUGAAGUUGGACCCAGGAGCCGGGUGUGGGCUGAGCCCUGCCUGAUUGAUGCUGCCAAGGAGGAGUACAACGGGGUGAUAGAAGAAUUUUUGGCAACAGGAGAGAAGCUUUUUGGACCUUAUGUUUGGGGAAGGUGCUGCGUACACCUGCUUGGAGGCUGCAACGGGGCGGGCUCUGCUGCGUCAGCACAUGGACAUCACUGGAGAGGAAAACCCACUCAACAAGCUCCGCGUGAAGAUUGAACCAGGCGUUGACCCGGACGACACCUAUAAUGAGACCCCCUAUGAGAAAGGUUUCUGCUUUGUCUCAUACCUGGCCCACUUGGUGGGUGAUCAGGAUCAGUUUGACAAUUUUCUCAAGGCCUAUGUGCAUGAAUUCAAAUUCCAAAGCAUCUUAGCCGAUGACUUUCUGGACUUCUACUUGGAAUAUUUCCCUGAGCUUAAGAAAAAGAGAGUGGAUAUCAUUCCAGGUUUUGAGUUUGAUCGAUGGCUGAAUAGCCCUGGCUGGCCCCCUUACCUCCCUGAUCUCUCCCUUGGAGACUCACUCAUGAAGCCUGCAGAAGAGCUAGCCCAGCUGUGGGCAGCCGACGAGCUGGACAUGAAGGCCAUUGAGGCUGUGGCCAUCUCUCCCUGGAAGACCUACCAGCUGGUCUA
Molecule: small RNA, 1069 nt
Filed under: Pongo abelii (Sumatran orangutan)
Lineage: Eukaryota; Metazoa; Chordata; Mammalia; Primates; Hominidae
Description: processed transcript
Source: RNAcentral